UAUUAGGUUGGUGCAAAAGUAAUCGCGGUUUUUGCCAUAAAAGAAAUGGCAAGAACCGUAAUUACUUUUGUACCAACCUAA
Molecule: microRNA precursor, 81 nt
Filed under: Nomascus leucogenys (northern white-cheeked gibbon)
Lineage: Eukaryota; Metazoa; Chordata; Mammalia; Primates; Hylobatidae
Description: miRNA (ENSNLEG00000032758.1)
Source: RNAcentral